AUGCUGCACGAGCAUGAGCACCCUGCAGCAGAGGACAUUCCCGAAUCUGAUCCCGACGAGUGUGUAGUUGAUGUCAAGAAAACAGAGUUGCACAUACAAGAUAUACGUGAAGCGAAACUUUUGAUCCAAGAGCUGAAUCAAUCGGGCGUGGGAGAGGAUAUCAGCGAUGAGGAGUUCCUUGCUUACUUUGACCAGCUGGCUCCCGGGCCUCCGUGGGUUGAUCUCAAAGCUGGGCUGACAGAAGAGGGUCUCGUUCAGCAAUACGUCGACCAUGCACUGUGCCGCUUCAGAUAUUACAAAUACAAGUUGUCACAGCCCAAGGAAGAGCCGCAUGGUGAUAACCUUCUCGAGGAAGAAGAGGACGAUAAGGAAGAAAGGGAAUAUUUAGCUACAUUGACAGAGAAGCAACUUCUUUUCCUUGAGGAAGAUGACGCUACAUCGGAAGAGGAUGAUAACCUUAUGGAUAAAACUGAGCAUGACUGUAAUAUGGAGUUUCUUGAGGAGAAGGGAUUUUUCAUUAGCUUUGAAGAAGACGGAACACUCGAUUGGUUUUUCUACCCUGCUUACUGCGAAUGUGCUUCCCUGAGUGACUAUCAACGCCUAGUCCUAAAAAAUUAUGGUGGUACCGAGUACAGCAUGUGGAGUGACUACCAUAGCUACCUUCAUAGCUAUGAUAUUGAACGAGAGUAUCUCAAGUACUGCGAGGAAUUAUCCAAGCGACUGAAGUGGAUGGAAGAUUAUGUCGAUAUUUGCCGCUCAUCCGUCAAAUGGGGUAAAAUAUCUUCCCGAGGAGCAUUUCAAGCAAUUAAGAUUGCUGCUACUAGCUUUCCCAAGAUCACUCCUACUUUAGCUUACAAUGGCUUUGAUGAGUAUAAAGAGCGCAUUUGCUAUUAUCAUACUUGGUUUAAGGAGUAUGAUCGUUUGUACUUUGAGAUUUGGCGGCGGGUCACAAAGGGAACGAGUUUCUGA
This 969-nucleotide ribosomal RNA is filed under the name Triticum aestivum (bread wheat). Its description in RNAcentral is "partial small subunit ribosomal RNA". Lineage: Eukaryota; Viridiplantae; Streptophyta; Magnoliopsida; Poales; Poaceae. The record is from RNAcentral.